This is a ribosomal RNA of 2128 nucleotides. It matches the Rfam family "Eukaryotic small subunit ribosomal RNA".
CCUGGUUGAUCCUGCCAGUUGUCAUAUGCUUGUUUCAAGGAUUAAGCCAUGCAAAUGUGAGAGGAGGUGCGCUUCGGCGCAGCCGGGUCUGUGUACGGCUCAUUAAAAGCUUAAUGAUCUACCCAACGAAGAAAGGACUUGUGCCUUUCCGACGGGAUAACCGUGCUAACUGCACGGCUAAUACCUGGUAGAAGAUUCUGCCGGCGGGAAGCCGCGUGUGCCGGGAGACCGGGGUGCGCGGUGCCGGCGGAAGCUGUUGGCCGAAAAGCGGGCCGGGGUCGGCAAGGCCGGCGCGGUCGCGAGAGCCGAGGCAGGCCAACGAAGCGGAAGCGCGCGGGGUCUCCGUGCGCGGCGUUGGACGAGUUCAGCACCUAUCAGGCGGAAGCUAAGGUAGUGGCCUAGCUUACCUAUCACGGGUAACGGGGGAUUGGGGUUCGAUUCCGGAGAGGGUGCCUGAGAGACGGCAACCAUGACUAUGGUCAGCAGCAGGCGCGCAAAUUGCCCAAUGCUAACGCAAGAACUAGCGAGGCAGCGACGAAAAAUAGCAGACCUGGCGGGGUGACUCGCCAGGGCCUGCCAUGGGCAGUAUAUAAGAUACACUGCGUAAAACCAUUGGAGGGCAAGUCUGGUGCCAGCAGCCGCGGUAAUUCCAGCUCCAAGAGCGUAUAUGAAUGUUGUUGCGUUUAAAAAGCCCGUAGUUGGAUUUGGGAUGCGGCCGAGAGGGAUGCCUGGGGAUGUGGAUGCUCAGUCGUCUGCGUCCUCGGGGCCCUGCAGCGGCGCGCGUCUGAGGCAUGCGGGGGCGGAGGCCACACAUCAACGGAGGAAGUCGGUGCGGGAUGCCUCGAGAGGGCGCCCGCGGAUACUCCGUGGUCUGCCCGCAGCUGUCACUGUGAGCAAACCAUAGUGCUCAAGGCAACCGGGACUCGGUUGAGUGUUCAAGCAUGGAAUGACAAGGGAUCCACCUCCGGGUGCGUCGGGCCGGUUCGCACGCGCCGAGGAGGAGAAAGCGCCGCGACGAAGCGCAAGCCCGUCUUGCGUGGCUCUUGCGGCCGGGGAUGAAUAGGAACACGGGGGGCCCUCGCUACUGGCGGGCUAGCGGUGAAAUGCUCAGACCCCGCCAAGAGCGACGUCGGCGAAGGCAGUGGGCUAUCGUGCUUUCAUUAAUCAAGGACGAGAGAUGCGGGAUCGAAGAGGAUUAGAGACCCUCGUAGUCGCUUCUGUAAACGAUGCAGGCUCGGGAUUGGCCACAAUACGACGAGGUAUGUGGUCAGGACCGGAGACACUCUCACCGGGAAACCAAAGCUUAUGUGUUUCGGGGGGAGUAUAGUCGCAAGGCUGAAACUUAAAGGAAUUGACGGAGAACCACCACAAGGCGUGGAGUGUGCGGCUUAAUUCGACUCAACGCGGGGAAUCCUACCAGGUCAGGACGCGGAAGUGAUUGCCAGGCUGAGAGACCUUGCAUGAUUACGCGAAGGGUAGUGCAUGGCCGCUUCUGGUUGGUGAAGUGAUUUGUCUGCUUAAUUGCGAUAACGAACGAGAUCUCUGCCAAUAAAAAGACGGCGGCUCCGCAGGCGUGGGGCGAUACACCUCCUGCUCCUUCUCGGGGGUGGGUGGUCCGUCCCCCACGCUGGAGUACGCAGAAAGAGCACCCUUGCUUCUGCGGGGUGCAGGUUACUUAUUGGGAUUAUGCAAGAAUUAGAUUGCAUUGAGACGAGAGCCCAAAGCAGGUCUGUGAUGCUCCUUACAUGUUCUGGGCUGCACGCGCACUACACUGGCUCAUGCAGCGAGAGUCUGCUGGGCACCCCCGUCCCAUUGCGGUCGGGGGCACUGGCAGCCUGCCCUGAAGAGGGUGGGGAAGCUUUUGAGGCUGAGCCGUGCUGGGGAUUGAUGAUUGUAAUUAUUCGUCAUGAACGAGGAAUGCCUUGUAUUCGCGCUUCAUCAGAGCGCAAAGAAUACGUCCCUGGUUCUUGUACACACCGCCCGUCGCUGUCUGUGAUGGGCUGCACGGUAGAGCUCUUCCGAGGGCCGCGGGCGGGGCGACUCGGCUGCGGCCCGACGUUGAGCGAUACCUGGAGCCUAGAAGAGACAGAAGUCGUAACAAGGUACUUGUAGGGGAACCUGCAUGUGG